RNAcentral lists this ribosomal RNA (305 nucleotides) under uncultured bacterium. RNAcentral's name for it is "bacterial SSU rRNA". It matches the Rfam family "Bacterial small subunit ribosomal RNA", at positions 337 to 659 of the family's 1533-position model. The record is from RNAcentral.
GCCUACGGGGGGCAGCAGUGGGGAAUAUUGCACAAUGGGGGAAACCCUGAUGCAGCGAUGCCGCGUGGAGGAAGAAGGUUUUCGGAUUGUAAACUCCUUUUAUCAGGGACGAUAAUGACGGUACCUGAAGAAAAAGCUCCGGCUAACUACGUGCCAGCAGCCGCGGUAAUACGUAGGGAGCGAGCGUUGUCCGGAUUUACUGGGUGUAAAGGGAGCGUAGACGGCAGCGCAAGUCUGGAGUGAAAUGCCGGGGCCCAACCCCGGAACUGCUCUGGAAACUGUGAAGCUGGAGUGCAGGAGAGGUA